UACGUAGGGUGCGAGCGUUGCCCGGAUUCAUUGGGCGUAAAGGGCGCGUAGGCGGCUACGCACGUCCGUUGUGAAAUCGCUCGGCUCAACUGGGCGGGGUCAGCGGAUACGGCGUAGCUGGAGCAAGCUAGGGGGCAAUGGAAUUCCCGGUGUAGUGGUGGAAUGCGUAGAUAUCGGGAGGAACACCAGUGGCGAAGGCGGUUGCCUGGAGCUUUGCUGACGCUGAUGCGCGAAAGCGUGGGGAGCGAUCCGG
Molecule: ribosomal RNA, 253 nt
Filed under: uncultured bacterium
Lineage: Bacteria
Description: partial 16S ribosomal RNA
Rfam family: Bacterial small subunit ribosomal RNA
Source: RNAcentral